This 766-nucleotide small RNA is filed under the name Pongo abelii (Sumatran orangutan). RNAcentral describes it as "processed transcript". The record is from RNAcentral. Lineage: Eukaryota; Metazoa; Chordata; Mammalia; Primates; Hominidae.
AGGCUGAGCAGUACUUUUGAGAGCGGUGUGAGGUGCUCGGUAGCGCGCCGUAGCUGCUUCUACGUCCUUGCUUCACCUCAGGUAAAGAGAGAAGUAAUGGAAAGCCUGUCUGAUGUUGCUGCUUUUGCAACUAAACUUAAAAACACUCUCAUCCAGUACCAUAGCAUUGAAGAAGAUAAGUGGCGAGUUGCUAAGAAAACGAAAGAUGUAACUGUUUGGAGAAAACCCUCAGAAGAAUUUAAUGGAUAUCUAUUCUUAAAGGGAUAUGUGAUCAAAAGAGAAUUGCUGUGUGAUGCGUUACACUACUGCUGGUCAGCUUUGGAAUAUAAUUUCACCAAGAGAAUUUGUUGAUUUCUCCUAUACUGUGGGCUAUAAAGAAGGGCUUUUAUCUUGUGGUAAUAAUCUCAACAUGUUAUGCUUUUUUUCAGUAUGGUUUAAAUAUUUGUGUUCUCUCGGCUGGAUGUUUCUUUCCUUGUGAGAUAUAUUUUCAACUCUGACUCUGUAAUCACUAACAUUUUUUGCAAAUGCUAAACUCUAGGGAGUAAAAUAACAAUAUCAAAAGAGUUUUGAAACCUUUCUGAUUAGUUUUUGUUCCCAGUUACACAGUAUCCUCUAGGUCAGAGGUAGCAAAUGGGGAUCACAUGACUGCCUCUAAGAAAGGGUUCUAGUAAAUGGAUUUUCUUCUAAGCCACUCUCAGAAAACAGUUUCUUGGUCAUACACAUAGAAAUACUAGAUUUUGUAUGUUUUAGAAUAUUCUUCCUUCCU